Glycine soja is the source of this 1071-nucleotide long non-coding RNA. RefSeq lists it as uncharacterized. Lineage: Eukaryota; Viridiplantae; Streptophyta; Magnoliopsida; Fabales; Fabaceae. The record is from RefSeq and is a predicted model, not a curated record. The transcript has 5 exons.
UUCUCCGCUUUUGUUUCUCCUCCUUUAAUCUUUUGCAUCCAUCCGGUUUUUGUUUCUCCUCCAUUAUUCUUUUGCGUCCAUCCAUAUUUUGUUUCACGUCAAUAUUCUAUUUUUUUCCUUUUUGUCUAAUUUUUUGUGCUUUGAUUUUUAGGACAGUCUAACGAUGGUGCUGAAAGUUACGAGGCUUUGCCCAUGGAAGAGUUGAGAUAGGAUACUAAAGAAUAGAGGCUAACGGUGGUGUUGAAGGUUACGGCACUUUGCCCAUGCAAGGGUUGCAACAAUAGGACUUGAGAAGGUGGAAAAACACAUUAACGUUGCGAUAUUUAUCUCAAAAACUUCAUGGGUUCAGAGAAGGUGGAAAAACACAUUAAAGUUGCAAUUUUUAUCUCAAAAACUUCAUGGGUUCAGAGAAGGUGGAAGAAUACACUGAAGCUGCCAUUUUUUACUUCAAAAAGCUUCCAUUUUUAUCUGAUUUUAUGUCAAAAGGUUUGUCUCCUUUGUUUCUCUGUCUACAUGUUCAUUUUCUUUGUUUUUUUGUUUUUCCAUCUUCCUUUUUCGUUCCUCUCCAUUCAUCUUCCUUCAUAUUCUGUUUUGUUUGUUUCUCCAACUUCCAUUUUCGUUCGUCUUCAUUCCACUUCAUAUUCCGUUUUACUCCAAUUUUUGUUUUAGUUCCAUUUUUGUUUAUCUCGCUACAUGUUAAUUGUUUUUUAUGAAUCGUUAUUUUAUGUAGAGAAGGUGGAAUGAGACAAUAAAGCUGCCAUUUUUAACUCCAAAAACCUUCGAUUUUUAUCUCAAACAGGAUUCUUUUCUUUGUUUCUCUAUCUACAAGUUCGUUUUCUUUAUUUGUUUUCUUUAUAUUUCGUUUGACUUUUCUUUUCGUUUUGGUUCCAUUUUUGUUUAUGUCAUUGCAUGUUGAUUGUUUUUCAUGAAUCAGUGUUUUAUGCAGACAAGGUUGAAGAAGACAUUAUACCUAUCAUUUUUCCAACAAAUAUUACACUAAGUAACAUAAUAUUAUCAUUAUCUUCAUAUCCUAACGUAAUAUUCUCAUUAAUUUGAAGAUCAUGACCAUUU